GCCGAGAAGACCUAUGUAAAUGAACCCAGGAAAAGUACACCUGGGUGAGAAGAAUCCCUUGUCCGGGUUCUGAGUGACUCACCAGCCUGGCCAACAGGAUACAAGGACCAUCUUUUCUGGAAGCGAGCACUGGGAAAUGCCAGCCUUGACCGGUUCUCUUCUUGGCACAGAAGACCUGCCAUCUGCCACCCAGUGUCUCUCCCUGGAUACCAGUCACGUCAGUUGGCGGUGACCUGUCCCCUACCCUGCUCAGCACAGGAGGCCCUCCCUAAUUUCUUGGAUUAAUUUGAAUUGACUGCGCUGAAUUGAAUUGACGUGACCCUAAUGGAAGUGAAUAGAAUUGAGUGGCAGAUUCCAGGCUCCAUCAGAGCCCACAGACACACAGUUUUGAGUGUCAGUCCACAAAACUGCACGAUGAUGUUGAGCCGUGGUUUCUAUUUUCUCCUUGAAGGAGUGAGUGGAUGGGAGUGGAUGCUGGGGACUAAGAAGAGAGACCACGGGACUUAAAGGCUGGAGAACAGGAAGGGGUUCUGAGCUGGUCCACUAUCCUUCUGUCAGGGGUCAGCCCUGUGUCUAACACAGCAGGGGCUCCAUGAGAAAUGACUGGAGAAUGCAGAGAUGAGAAAUGAAGGAGUGGAUAAGCGGAUGGUGAAGGCAAGCGAGAGAGAGGGGGCCCAUGUCCUGUCAGUGUCCUCUUUCCCCCCUCUGGGUCCCCUAGCCUAUAACUCACUGCUCUCCUCCCCACAUCCAGUUAAAUGCCACCCCUUGCAAAGCUCAGCUCAUGUUAAGUUCCAAGAAACAGCCACCAUGAGGAGGAAAGGCUGGAUGGCAACAUCAAAGCUCCUCUUCGCUCAGAAUGGGGACCCGCUCGAUUCCACAUGGCCCAGAGGUUUCUGGUAGAUGGCAACCAAGCA
Peromyscus maniculatus bairdii (prairie deer mouse) is the source of this 914-nucleotide long non-coding RNA. RefSeq lists it as uncharacterized. NCBI's taxonomy places the organism in Eukaryota, Metazoa, Chordata, Mammalia, Rodentia, Cricetidae. The record is from RefSeq and is a predicted model, not a curated record.